RNAcentral lists this ribosomal RNA (586 nucleotides) under Variovorax paradoxus. RNAcentral's name for it is "bacterial SSU rRNA". It matches the Rfam family "Bacterial small subunit ribosomal RNA", at positions 37 to 611 of the family's 1533-position model. Lineage: Bacteria; Pseudomonadati; Pseudomonadota; Betaproteobacteria; Burkholderiales; Comamonadaceae. The record is from RNAcentral.
UGGCUUCCUACCUUGCACAUGCAUGCCCAACCCCAAAAAAGGGAGCAUCCUAGGUUUCCCAGUGGCGAACGGGUGAGUAAUACAUCGGAACGUGCCCAAUCGUGGGGGAUAACUUCUAGCCAAAGCUGUGCUAAUACCGCAUACGAUCUACGGAUCGAAAGCAGGGGAUCGCAAGACCUUGCGCGAAUGGAGCGGCCGAUGGCAGAUUAGGUAGUUGGUGAGGUAAAGGCUCACCAAGCCUUCGAUCUGUAGCUGGUCUGAGAGGACGACCAGCCACACUGGGACUGAGACACGGCCCAGACUCCUACGGGAGGCAGCAGUGGGGAAUUUUGGACAAUGGGCGAAAGCCUGAUCCAGCCAUGCCGCGUGCAGGAUGAAGGCCUUCGGGUUGUAAACUAGCUUUUGUACGGAACGAAACGGCUCUUUCUAAUAAAGAGGGCUAAUGACGGUACCGUAAGAAUAAGCACCGGCUAACUACGUGCCAGCAGCCGCGGUAAUACGGUAGGGUGCAAGCGUUAAUCGGAAUUACUGGGCGUAAAGCGUGCGCAGGCGGUAAUGUAAGACAGUUGUGAAAUCCCCGGGCUCA